This 1785-nucleotide long non-coding RNA is filed under the name Cercocebus atys (sooty mangabey). Its description in RNAcentral is "lncRNA (ENSCATG00000045475.1)". Lineage: Eukaryota; Metazoa; Chordata; Mammalia; Primates; Cercopithecidae. The record is from RNAcentral.
GUGAAUGAACUGGGGCUAGGGAGCUGUGGUGAGUGGCAAAUCAAAGUGAUUAGGCUCCCACUUGUUGCUCUGUCCCAUAAAUGUGCCUUCUCUCCAUUUAUACUAUCUAUUUUGGAGUUUCAGUCCUGCAUUGACUCACAAGGCAAACGAACAUCUACAUACUCAAGAAAGGACCGAAAAACCAGGAGUAGUUCUCAGUCUCUGCUUCUGACCUCAAGUACCAAUAGGGAAAAUAUAUCCCGACCCCUGACGGUCACGUCUCCCCAUCUCACGGAUGAGAUGCCAGUCCGAUAUGUCAGCUGUGUUUUGCUUCAGCCUGAAUUCUGGGAAGUGUUACCAUUUCUCUUCCUGAACAUUUGCUUUGAAGAUAAAGAGAGGAUGUUCAUCUCCCCCAAGGACCUCCCCGGGCGUUCCUGCCUGUCAGUCUUGUCCUUGCUUUGGGAAAUUACAUCAGCCAAACAUGAGCUGGACGAACAACCCAUCAGGUGACUGCACCCAAAUGAAGAGAAGCCCAAGGGAAAGUCCUCUGUAGCAUCCUUCUUCCCUUUGAUACCCAGGCAGUGACUCUAGGAAGGUGACUUAUUUUCACUAACACCCCAGAUCGGUGUAGUCAAUUUUAAAACCAGGCCCACAAGCACUGACGCAGUAAAAAGCCCUGUGGCCUGGUGACCUGGGCUCUGGGUCUGGCAUUGUCACUGACCAGCUGUGACCUCAGAAGUGUCUUUACUUCCCUGGCCUCUGGGUCUUCAACUGGAAAAUGGGAGCGUUGGGUUGAAGUGGUACUAACGUUUUCAAUUAUAUGUUUACUCUUUUUUUUUUUUUUUAUUAUAUCUCCAACUGCUCUAUGGUCUAUGUUGAAAGAAUUUUGACUUCUCAACACAUUGAACUUGUUAAGCAGCAGCCUUUAUUUUAUUUCUCUUUUUUAUUCAUCAAAGCAUAUGCCGGAGCCUCUGAUCAACGUGACUGGUUAAUCUUCUUCCAGCCAAAUAAAACCUCAUUGUAAGGACACAUGGUUUCUUAUAGGAUGUUUGAAAUUUUGAAAAUAUGUCACAAAUCCCUACUCCAAUCCUCAUGGGCCCCUAAAAAUUCUAAGGAUCCCAAAUGAGGAACAAAUGGGCUAAAACAUGGUUAGAGAAGCCUCCUGUGUCCAGUAUUGUGGUAAAGAUGACAGAGCCCCAAAACCCCUAUACAAGAAAAGAAAAGAAAAAUGUUACAGCACUGGUUUAAAUAGCCCAAGCUCAGGCUGUGAAAGCUCAGGCCUUGUCUUUCUUUUCUGUUGGAGGAGAUGGCUUCUAUCCAUGCUUCCCCUCCAUUUAAUCUUGCCGGUACCAGAAUUCACUGAAUAGCUGAGCUGUCUCCACCAAUGAAUACCCAAAAUGAUGAAAAACAAACACUUACCUCUCUUUCUGAUGGUUUCAUUUACCAACUUCCCUAAUACUUAUGGAUCAUUCUAGACUUCAAAGAAUGCAUUUUCUAUCUGACUUUAUAUUUUUAAUAUAGUGAUAGAGUACUUACUGUUUUCCAGGCAAACGGUAGGCACAUAGCACAUGCUUGCUGGACCAACACCUGUAUGAAUGGACUCUGUUAAGCGUUUCCACAUAGUCCAUGCAAUUUAACUCUCUCAGCAGCUCUGUAAGAUAGGGAGUAUUCUUCCUGUUUCCCCACUGAGGAAACUGAGUCUGAGUCAGGUGCUAUUAAUUGUUCAGAGUCAUACAGUUAGUAAGUGGUGAGGCAGGCUUAAACCCAGAUCUUUUGUCCACACAUUGCUGGGCAGGUGCCCUACAG